This 76-nucleotide transfer RNA is filed under the name Paramylibacter ulvae. RNAcentral's name for it is "Amylibacter ulvae tRNA-Asn". It matches the Rfam family "tRNA". Rfam says of the family: Transfer RNA (tRNA) molecules are approximately 80 nucleotides in length. Their secondary structure includes four short double-helical elements and three loops (D, anti-codon, and T loops). Lineage: Bacteria; Pseudomonadati; Pseudomonadota; Alphaproteobacteria; Rhodobacterales; Paracoccaceae. The record is from RNAcentral.
UCGACCGUAGCUCAGAUGGUAGAGCAGCCGACUGUUAAUCGGCGCGCCGCAGGUUCGAGUCCCGCCGGUCGAGCCA